GUAGCAGAGACGCAAGUUCAGGGUGUAAGCUUUCAGUCUCCUAAUGCUUUGUGGAAGCACUUGAAAAAAGCAGAUGCCUUUCUAUAAUAGCUCCAUGAUAGCUGACAUUCAUAGAACUCUUUGUUUUCUCAGCAUCAAUAUCCUCCAUGGGGAUGGAUCAAAUGUCAAGGGAGCUUGUUGCUACAGUGCUUGUGUACACUAUCCACAAAGCAGGAGAGGAAGAAAAAAUUAAAGAAAAGCUAAACCUUGCCAGAUGCUGUAGAGUUCCUUAGACUUGGGAAAGAGACUUCUACUCUGCAGGUUCAGACAGUCAAGGCUUUGCAGGGUUUGCCAGCAGGCAGGGAUAUCUUGCUUUGGUCCACGAGAUGUCACCAGAGGGUAACAAGUAACUGGAAGUUUGUAUUAAAGUGGGAUUCAAGCUUGCUGUACUAUGAGCUAAGGGGAAGCUACAUGGACAGGGAGCACGGGAAAGCCCAGAACUCCUUCUGCUGGCUAGACAUAGAAUGCUCCAGGCUACAGCACUUUCUGAGAACACACCCUCCUGUCUUUUCUGUUCCAUUUUCUGUUUUUUUUUAAUGGUUUGAUGGGAGACCUUACUGUAGUGGUCUAAGGCAGCAUGCUGCAUUCUAGCUGGCUGAAGUGACAACAGUUAUACCACAACGCAACACUCACCUAAUUACUGAUGGAUGGCAGACAGGUGGGAUUCAGAGUGGGUGAUUUGUGACUUCAGUGAACCUGUGUAACAGGUCACCAGGAUUUGUUAUUAUCUUACCUGUUUCACCUGACCCUUCCCAUUAAAACCCCCAACUGUGUAUUUUUCAGGAUUGCUAAAUUAGUCUUCAUUUUCCAGUUUUAAAUGCCUUUCUGUCCCAUCUUCAAAUCCACAGCUGCUACAGUUGCUAUUAAAGGAUUAUUUGCUGUAUUACAUAGAAUGGUUAAGGUUGGAAAAGACCUUAAGAUCAUCCAGUUCCAACCCUCGCAAGGUUGAAAUCAGAUGAAACAGGUUGCCCUGAUCUGAUUAAUUGGUACUGCCAAAAGUGGUGAUUCUGUUACUCUCACCUCUUUACAUGGCCUCCUAGCUCCACUGUCUCCCUUGCUGUAGCUCUGGUGCUCUUCUGACAUUUCAGUGAUGAAUUCAGCUUACUAAGCCAGCAGAAAGCUCUGUUUUGCUGUGUGAGUUCUCAUCUGACUCAUUGAGUAGAACUGGCUCCUCAAGGAGUCGUAUUAAUACCAGUGUUAGAAUUAAUGCAAAGGAAGGAAUGAGGAGAUAAUAAUCCCCCGCUUGAUCUCCCUUCCGUACAUGCUACAUUCUUUUGU
Long non-coding RNA from Neopsephotus bourkii (Bourke's parrot), 1317 nucleotides. RefSeq lists it as uncharacterized. Lineage: Eukaryota; Metazoa; Chordata; Aves; Psittaciformes; Psittacidae. The transcript has 3 exons. The record is from RefSeq and is a predicted model, not a curated record.